CCCUUAGAUGUUCUGGGCCGCACGCGCGCUACACUGACGAAUGCAACGAGCUUAUAACCUUGGCCGAAAGGUCUGGGUAAUCUCCAAAUUUCGUCGUGAUGGGGAUAGAUUAUUGCAAUUAUUCAUCUUCAACGAGGAAUUCCUAGUAAACGCAAGUCAUCAGCUUGCAUUGAUUACGUCCCUGCCCUUUGUACACACCGCCCGUCGCACCUACCGAUUGAAUGGUCCGGUGAAAUUCUCGGACGCGGACUAGCGAUGUUAAUUCGGAGCUUGACUGUGAAAGUUAAUUAAACCUUACCAUUUAGAGGAAGGUGAANUCGUAACA
This 325-nucleotide ribosomal RNA is filed under the name uncultured eukaryote. RNAcentral describes it as "partial 18S ribosomal RNA". It matches the Rfam family "Eukaryotic small subunit ribosomal RNA", at positions 1470 to 1796 of the family's 1831-position model. The record is from RNAcentral.